GAUAAACGCUGGCGGCGUGCCUAAUACAUGCAAGUCGAGCGAACGGACGAGAAGCUUGCUUCUCUGAUGUUAGCGGCGGACGGGUGAGUAACACGUGGAUAACCUACCUAUAAGACUGGGAUAACUUCGGGAAACCGGAGCUAAUACCGGAUAAUAUUUUGAACCGCAUGGUUCAAAAGUGAAAGACGGUCUUGCUGUCACUUAUAGAUGGAUCCGCGCUGCAUUAGCUAGUUGGUAAGGUAACGGCUUACCAAGGCAACGAUGCAUAGCCGACCUGAGAGGGUGAUCGGCCACACUGGAACUGAGACACGGUCCAGACUCCUACGGGAGGCAGCAGUAGGGAAUCUUCCGCAAUGGGCGAAAGCCUGACGGAGCAACGCCGCGUGAGUGAUGAAGGUCUUCGGAUCGUAAAACUCUGUUAUUAGGGAAGAACAUAUGUGUAAGUAACUGUGCACAUCUUGACGGUACCUAAUCAGAAAGCCACGGCUAACUACGUGCCAGCAGCCGCGGUAAUACGUAGGUGGCAAGCGUUAUCCGGAAUUAUUGGGCGUAAAGCGCGCGUAGGCGGUUUUUUAAGUCUGAUGUGAAAGCCCACGGCUCAACCGUGGAGGGUCAUUGGAAACUGGAAAACUUGAGUGCAGAAGAGGAAAGUGGAAUUCCAUGUGUAGCGGUGAAAUGCGCAGAGAUAUGGAGGAACACCAGUGGCGAAGGCGACUUUCUGGUCUGUAACUGACGCUGAUGUGCGAAAGCGUGGGGAUCAAACAGGGUUAGAUACCCUGGUAGUCCACGCCGUAAACGAUGAGUGCUAAGUGUUAGGGGGUUUCCGCCCCUUAGUGCUGCAGCUAACGCAUUAAGCACUCCGCCUGGGGAGUACGACCGCAAGGUUGAAACUCAAAGGAAUUGACGGGGACCCGCACAAGCGGUGGAGCAUGUGGUUUAAUUCGAAGCAACGCGAAGAACCUUACCAAAUCUUGACAUCCUUUGACAACUCUAGAGAUAGAGCCUUCCCCUUCGGGGGACAAAGUGACAGGUGGUGCAUGGUUGUCGUCAGCUCGUGUCGUGAGAUGUUGGGUUAAGUCCCGCAACGAGCGCAACCCUUAAGCUUAGUUGCCAUCAUUAAGUUGGGCACUCUAAGUUGACUGCCGGUGACAAACCGGAGGAAGGUGGGGAUGACGUCAAAUCAUCAUGCCCCUUAUGAUUUGGGCUACACACGUGCUACAAUGGACAAUACAAAGGGCAGCGAAACCGCGAGGUCAAGCAAAUCCCAUAAAGUUGUUCUCAGUUCGGAUUGUAGUCUGCAACUCGACUACAUGAAGCUGGAAUCGCUAGUAAUCGUAGAUCAGCAUGCUACGGUGAAUACGUUCCCGGGUCU
Molecule: ribosomal RNA, 1372 nt
Filed under: uncultured bacterium
Lineage: Bacteria
Description: bacterial SSU rRNA
Rfam family: Bacterial small subunit ribosomal RNA
Source: RNAcentral